RNAcentral lists this non-coding RNA (24 nucleotides) under Arabidopsis thaliana (thale cress). Lineage: Eukaryota; Viridiplantae; Streptophyta; Magnoliopsida; Brassicales; Brassicaceae. The record is from RNAcentral.
UUUACCUAUACGCGAACCAGUGAU